UAUUCUGCCCUACGGGGAAGGAUGAGAAGGUUCGACUCGAGCGUAGCGAGAGAACGUUGCCGAAGGCAACGGCCCGAAGGGCGAGGCGCUUUAGCGCCGAGUUAUCCUUCCCCCACCACCA
Molecule: small RNA, 121 nt
Filed under: Klebsiella quasipneumoniae subsp. similipneumoniae
Lineage: Bacteria; Pseudomonadati; Pseudomonadota; Gammaproteobacteria; Enterobacterales; Enterobacteriaceae
Also listed under: 2 other names
Description: RtT sRNA
Rfam family: RtT RNA
About the family: This family represents a bacterial cis-regulatory element known as RtT RNA. The exact function of RtT is unknown although it is thought that it may be involved in changing the cellular response in relation to amino acid starvation.
Source: RNAcentral